GUGAGGAAUAUUGGUCAAUGGGCGGGAGCCUGAACCAGCCAAGUCGCGUGAAGGAAGAAGGAUCUAUGGUUCGUAAACUUCUUUUGCAGGGGAAUAAAGUGCAGGACGUGUCCUGUUUUGUAUGUACCCUGAGAAUAAGGAUCGGCUAACUCCGUGCCAGCAGCCGCGGUAAUACGGAGGAUCCGAGCGUUAUCCGGAUUUAUUGGGGUUAAAGGGUGCGUAGGUGGUUUGAUAAGUCAGCGGUGAAAGUUUGCAGCUUAACUGUAAAAAUGCCGUUGAAACUGUCGGACUUGAGUGUAAAUGAGGUAGGCGGAAUGCGUGGUGUAGCGGUGAAAUGCAUAGAUAUCACGCAGAACUCCGAUUGCGAAGGCAGCUUACUAAGCUACAACUGACACUGAAGCACGAAAGCGUGGGGAUCAAACAGGAUUAGAUACCCCGGUAGUCC
This 445-nucleotide ribosomal RNA is filed under the name uncultured bacterium. RNAcentral's name for it is "partial 16S ribosomal RNA". It matches the Rfam family "Bacterial small subunit ribosomal RNA", at positions 354 to 796 of the family's 1533-position model. The record is from RNAcentral.